CCUACGGGUGGCUGCAGUAAGGAAUAUUGGUCAAUGGACGAAAGUCUGAACCAGCCAUGCCGCGUGGAGGAUGAAGGUCCUCUGGAUUGUAAACUUCUUUUAUAUGGGACGAAAAAAGGCCUUUCUAGGCCGUCUGACGGUACCAUAUGAAUAAGCACCGGCUAACUCCGUGCCAGCAGCCGCGUUAAUACGGAGGGUGCAAGCGUUAUCCGGAUGCGCUGGGUUUAGUGGGUGCGUCGGUGGUGAGAUAUACGAGCUUAACUUGGAAACUGCCAUUGAUACUAUUAAUCUUGAAUAUUGUGGAGGUUAGCGGAAUAUGUCAUGUAGCGGUGAAAUGCUUAGAUAUGACAUAGAACACCAAUUGCGAAGGCAGCUGGCUACACAUAUAUUGACACUGAGGCACGAAAGCGUGGGGAUCAAACAGGAUUAGAUACCCGUGUAGUC
This 444-nucleotide ribosomal RNA is filed under the name uncultured bacterium. RNAcentral describes it as "partial 16S ribosomal RNA". It matches the Rfam family "Bacterial small subunit ribosomal RNA", at positions 338 to 795 of the family's 1533-position model. The record is from RNAcentral.